RNAcentral lists this ribosomal RNA (470 nucleotides) under uncultured Methanosaeta sp. RNAcentral's name for it is "bacterial SSU rRNA". It matches the Rfam family "Archaeal small subunit ribosomal RNA", at positions 871 to 1337 of the family's 1478-position model. The record is from RNAcentral. Lineage: Archaea; Methanobacteriati; Methanobacteriota; Methanomicrobia; Methanotrichales; Methanotrichaceae.
GACGGGGAGCACUACAACGGGUGGAGCCUGCGGUUUAAUUGGAUUCAACGCCGGAAAUCUCACCGGGGCGACAGCAAUAUGAAGGUCAGGCUGAAGACCUUACCCGAUUAGCUGAGAGGUGGUGCAUGGCCGUCGUCAGUUCGUACUGUGAAGCAUCCUGUUAAGUCAGGCAACGAGCGAGACCCACGUCCACAGUUGCCAGCAUACCCUCCGGGGUGAUGGGUACACUGUGGAGACCGCCGCUGCUAAAGCGGAGGAAGGAGUGGGCAACGGUAGGUCAGUAUGCCCCGAAUCUCCCGGGCUACACGCGGGCUACAAUGGUUGGUACAAUGGGCAUCUACCCCGAAAGGGGAAGGAAAUCUCUUAAAGCCAAUCGUAGUUCGGAUUGAGGGCUGCAACUCGCCCUCAUGAAGCUGGAAUCCGUAGUAAUCGCGUUUCAACAGAACGCGGUGAAUACGUCCCUGCUCCUU